CCUACGGGAGGCAGCAGUCGGGAAUUUUGGGCAAUGGGGGAAACCCUGACCCAGCAACGCCGCGUGAAGGAUGAAGUAUUUCGGUAUGUAAACUUCGAAAGAAUAGGAAGAAUUAAUGACGGUACUAUUUAUAAGGUCCGGCUAACUACGUGCCAGCAGCCGCGGUAAUACGUAGGGACCAAGCGUUGUUCGGAUUUACUGGGCGUAAAGGGCGCGUAGGCGGCAUGGUAAGUCACUUGUGAAAUCUCCGAGCUUAACUCGGAACGGCCAAGUGAUACUGCUGAGCUAGAGUGCAGAAGGGGCAAUCGGAAUUCUUGGUGUAGCGGUGAAAUGCGUAGAUAUCAAGAGGAACACCUGAGGUGAAGACGGGUUGCUGGGCUGACACUGACGCUGAGGCGCGAAAGCUAGGGGAGCAAACGGGAUUAGAUACCCCGGUAGUCCUAGCCCUAAACGAUGAAUACUUGGUGUCUGGAGGUUUAAUACUCCGGGUGCCGUCGCUAACGUUUUUAGUAUUUCCGCCUGGGGGACGUACGCUACGCAAGUAUGAAACUCAAAGGAAUUGA
RNAcentral lists this ribosomal RNA (563 nucleotides) under uncultured organism. Its description in RNAcentral is "bacterial SSU rRNA". It matches the Rfam family "Bacterial small subunit ribosomal RNA", at positions 338 to 913 of the family's 1533-position model. The record is from RNAcentral.